UUAUGCACGCUUUUCCUGGUGCAUCGGAUGCAACUGCGUACCAUGUUAUAUACUGCACUAGACACUCUAUGCCUUCAGCCAGUCCUGCCUAUAGAUUUUGUUACUAUACCUGCGGCUAUACGUAUCGGCUACUUGGGUGUUAAAAGUUGAGGACCUCCUGCGGAGACUGUACUUGGAAUAUAAUAAGGGAGAGAACAGUGGCAGUAAGGAAGUUACAACCCUGAUCUUCAACUGAAAACUAAUGUCACCCAGUUUUAUUAUGACGUUCCAUAACAUUAAUAUUAUAUUGGUGCACUGCCGCAAGUUCUUGAAGGCGCCUAAAAAUUUAAUCAACCUCAACUAGGGGGGGACGGGGGGAGGGAGGCUGACCAACCCUAGAAUUUUUCCAGGGAUUCAAUCAAACGCACUCCCUACAGAUACAACGAUAUAUAUGCAAUCUAUGGGAUUUUAAUGAACGAGAUGUCACGUGUGUUUCGUGGACACCCUAACAGAUUUCCAUAUCACGGAUGUUCACUACAAAAUCAACCCGCAUCUCUACCGACGAUUGCAGAAAUACAGCUGCAGUCCCAGGCAUGGAUCUUUCAUCUCCGG
Cephus cinctus (wheat stem sawfly) is the source of this 591-nucleotide long non-coding RNA. RefSeq lists it as uncharacterized. The transcript is spliced from 4 exons. The record is from RefSeq and is a predicted model, not a curated record. Lineage: Eukaryota; Metazoa; Arthropoda; Insecta; Hymenoptera; Cephidae.